RNAcentral lists this ribosomal RNA (512 nucleotides) under Hafnia alvei. RNAcentral's name for it is "bacterial SSU rRNA". It matches the Rfam family "Bacterial small subunit ribosomal RNA", at positions 20 to 521 of the family's 1533-position model. The record is from RNAcentral. Lineage: Bacteria; Pseudomonadati; Pseudomonadota; Gammaproteobacteria; Enterobacterales; Hafniaceae.
UGGCUCAGAUUGAACGCUGGCGGCAGGCCUAACACAUGCAAGUCGAGCGGUAGCACAAGAGAGCUUGCUCUCUGGGUGACGAGCGGCGGACGGGUGAGUAAUGUCUGGGAAACUGCCUGAUGGAGGGGGAUAACUACUGGAAACGGUAGCUAAUACCGCAUGACGUCUUCGGACCAAAGUGGGGGACCUUCGGGCCUCACGCCAUCAGAUGUGCCCAGAUGGGAUUAGCUAGUAGGUGGGGUAAUGGCUCACCUAGGCGACGAUCUCUAGCUGGUCUGAGAGGAUGACCAGCCACACUGGAACUGAGACACGGUCCAGACUCCUACGGGAGGCAGCAGUGGGGAAUAUUGCACAAUGGGCGCAAGCCUGAUGCAGCCAUGCCGCGUGUAUGAAGAAGGCCUUCGGGUUGUAAAGUACUUUCAGCGAGGAGGAAGGCAUUGUGGUUAAUAACCGCAGUGAUUGACGUUACUCGCAGAAGAAGCACCGGCUAACUCCGUGCCAGCAGCCGCGGU